GACGGCGGAUGCAAGUGUUAUCCGGAAUCACUGGGCGUAAAGCGUCUGUAGGUGGUUUAAUAAGUCAACUGUUAAAUCUUGAGGCUCAACCUCAAAAUCGCAGUCGAAACUAUUAGGCUAGAGUAUAGUAGGGGUAAAGGGAAUUUACAGUGGAGCGGUGAAAUGCGUAGAGAUUGGAAAGAACACCGAUGGCGAAGGCACUUUACUGGGCUAUUACUAACACUCAGAGACGAAAGCUAGGGUAGCAAAUGGG
RNAcentral lists this ribosomal RNA (253 nucleotides) under uncultured bacterium. RNAcentral's name for it is "partial 16S ribosomal RNA". It matches the Rfam family "Bacterial small subunit ribosomal RNA", at positions 524 to 776 of the family's 1533-position model. The record is from RNAcentral.